CCUACGGGGGGCUGCAGUGGGGAAUAUUGGACAAUGGUGGCAACCCUGAUCCAGCCAUGCCGCGUGUGUGAAGAAGGCCCUCGGGUUGUAAAGCACUUUCAGUGAGGAAGAACGCCUGGUGGUUAAUACCCAUCAGGAAAGACAUCACUCACAGAAGAAGCACCGGCUAACUCCGUGCCAGCAGCCGCGGUAAUACGGAGGGUGCGAGCGUUAAUCGGAAUUACUGGGCGUAAAGCGCGCGUAGGUGGCUUGAUAAGCCGGUUGUGAAAGCCCCGGGCUCAACCUGGGAACGGCAUCCGGAACUGUCAAGCUAGAGUACAGGAGAGGAAGGUAGAAUUCCCGGUGUAGCGGUGAAAUGCGUAGAGAUCGGGAGGAAUACCAGUGGCGAAGGCGGCCUUCUGGACUGACACUGACACUGAGGUGCGAAAGCGUGGGUAGCAAACAGGAUUAGAUACCCCUGUAGUC
Molecule: ribosomal RNA, 465 nt
Filed under: Vreelandella stevensii
Lineage: Bacteria; Pseudomonadati; Pseudomonadota; Gammaproteobacteria; Oceanospirillales; Halomonadaceae
Description: partial 16S ribosomal RNA
Rfam family: Bacterial small subunit ribosomal RNA
Source: RNAcentral